GCACCUGUAGCUCAGUGGAUAGAGCACACGCCUCCGACGCGUGGUGUCGGACGUUCAAAUCGUCUCAGGUGCGCCA
Molecule: transfer RNA, 76 nt
Filed under: Christensenella hongkongensis
Lineage: Bacteria; Bacillati; Bacillota; Clostridia; Christensenellales; Christensenellaceae
Description: Catabacter hongkongensis tRNA-Arg
Rfam family: tRNA
About the family: Transfer RNA (tRNA) molecules are approximately 80 nucleotides in length. Their secondary structure includes four short double-helical elements and three loops (D, anti-codon, and T loops).
Source: RNAcentral